This is a long non-coding RNA of Carassius auratus (goldfish), 1102 nucleotides long. RefSeq lists it as uncharacterized. The transcript is spliced from 3 exons. Lineage: Eukaryota; Metazoa; Chordata; Actinopteri; Cypriniformes; Cyprinidae. The record is from RefSeq and is a predicted model, not a curated record.
UCAAAGUAAGUUAUUUUUAAGAAAAUGUCACAAAUGUUAAUAAAUGAGAAGUGUGGGCUUCUCGACUCUCUUUACAACCCAUAAAACCUCUUGGCAAAAGUCGAAUCCAACCUUGUGACUUUAAUGAGAAAGAACAUGCAAGUAGCUCAUGCUUGGCAUGUGCCUGAACUGAGGUCAGUAAAGCCAUCCUGAAAUGCAUGCAUGAUACAAGACUGCUAUGCAUCGCAUAAAAUGCGGCUGUCACUUCACCUAGGCCUAUAUUAUAAACUCAAUGAAGGGCCCAUAAUCACCCAAAAUGCCUAAGGGAACUAGGCAUAAUAACACCAUUCAUUGCCAAAGUCUCACGCCUUCUUAUAAACUUGGUAAUAUGAAUGUUUUAAUUUGAUAUGCCUCAAGCACAAAAGGUUGGUUCUAUCAUCACAUGUAGUCAUUCGGAUGUGAUGCAUGAGUCCUGGUGUUAAUUAGAACCAGCCCAUUCAGAGAAAAGGUGACCUGGAGGACACGAGGGCUGGUGUAUGCCAAGUAAACCACCUACAUUUGGACAAUCCUCCAUGACAACUGAUUACUUGUCACAGGGGAGCAGCUAGUGUCAGGCAGGACAUGAGCCACUUCAUUCACAGCUGUGCGUGAGGCACUGCCUUUCAGAAACCCUGCGUUUGGAAGUAACACCCUAAGAUACAUGUUUCAGAAGACAACCCACAAUCUAUCAUUUACAUCCUGAUAUCAUUCAUUCACAACUGAACAAAUACUUGUCCUUUGGAAGAAGACCCUCUACAAUCCCUCAUUGCACUUUAAGAUUUCUACUCUAUAGAGUGAAUUAGAUCCGGAAGAAGAAACUAGUUGACUACAGUGAGGGGUAGGAGAAGGACACAUACCGGAGACUAGGGAUCUGAAUGCUGCAACAAUGGCUCUGUCCUGCUCAAAAUAACAGCUGCUUUCACACUCAUGCGAAAUGUCAGACUUUGUGAUUCGAAAGACCAGAUUAUACAGACUGUUACAGACAUUUAUUCAAAAUAUACAAGAUACUACAUACAAAAAUACUAUGCAUCAAACAAUGUAAACAUGAGCGCAACCAAUAGUAUGCCUCACAGUAUUAAUAUAA